This 355-nucleotide ribosomal RNA is filed under the name uncultured fungus. RNAcentral describes it as "eukaryotic LSU rRNA". It matches the Rfam family "Eukaryotic large subunit ribosomal RNA", at positions 40 to 398 of the family's 3401-position model. The record is from RNAcentral. Lineage: Eukaryota; Fungi.
AUAUCAAUAAGCGGAGGAAAAGAAACCAACAGGGAUUGCCCUAGUAACGGCGAGUGAAGCGGCAACAGCUCAAAUUUGAAAUCUGGCUCUCGGGCCCGAGUUGUAAUUUGUAGAGGAUGUUUCUGGCAAGGUGCCUUCCGAGUUCCCUGGAACGGGACGCCAUAGAGGGUGAGAGCCCCGUACGGUUGGUUGCCGCGCCUCUGUGAAACUCCUUCGACGAGUCGAGUAGUUUGGGAAUGCUGCUCUAAAUGGGAGGUAUACGUCUUCUAAAGCUAAAUACCGGCCAGAGACCGAUAGCGCACAAGUAGAGUGAUCGAAAGAUGAAAAGCACUUUGAAAAGAGGGUUAAAUAGUAC